This is a long non-coding RNA of Glycine soja, 1592 nucleotides long. RefSeq lists it as uncharacterized. The record is from RefSeq and is a predicted model, not a curated record. The transcript is spliced from 2 exons. NCBI's taxonomy places the organism in Eukaryota, Viridiplantae, Streptophyta, Magnoliopsida, Fabales, Fabaceae.
UAUUUAUUUUGGACCCCUGAUCAAACACAUAAACACGAGAUAGAUAGGUUUCGCUCACGACACUGCUUACCCAUUUCAUUUAUUUUCGUCACACGCUUAGACCAUAGCUUCUUACAUUUGGGACCCCACCAAGCACCAAAACACCAACAGCCUGUUAUUCUAUGGAAUAACAGUUCCCAAUCAAAAACAAAAAACUGGCACUCCUACCUAUUUAUUUUAAAAUAAAAAAGAUCCCAUUUCCUAGUUUUGACUUUGGUCGUGCACUAUCUUAUUAUUUGACAUGGCAGAGGGAGAGGGUUGUGGCUGUGUUGCGUUCAAACUGUGACGUUUGUCAUCUUAAAUUAACUCACAUGUGAAUCGACGACGCAGACCCGGAAAUGGAGUGGGAUUAGUUAUAAAUACUAAUUAUUAAUAUUAAUGAAGGAAAAUUAAAGAGAGAGAGAGAGAGAGUGCGGCUGCAGGAAAAGUAACAAUGGAGCCACGACACUAUACAAGUCACCCACCCAACCCUUUCAUUUCAUAUUCACAGCAUCGUAAUUAUAAACACCAAAAAAAGUACACAACCAGUCAACAACUACACCAAACAUUAUGCAGUGGCAAAACAAAAUAGAGGAGCUAGCCAGUAGUAUUUGCCACCAAAACAACAUAAUAAUCUUCCCACCAUUUAUAUUACGAAAUUACCCCUGGCGGAGAAUCUACCCCUCGCGAAUACCAACAACUAUCACCAAGACCACACCACACCACAUGCACAGGCACAGGCUGUUCAUCCAAAAAACAGUUGCAACUUCCUUCCAAGGAAGAAUACUAGUACGUGUUAAGAAGAAUCAAGCCAUGCGUUGAAUUGAAUCAAGGCAACAGGAAUAGGGUAGUCCUCAAGAAGAGAAAAAACGCUGACGACAGACACGGGGGCUCCGGCGAGCGGCGAGCGGCGAGGGUAGGCGGAAAUGGAGGCAAGGCUCGUGUUCGUGUAUGGCAUUUUCGUCCAUUCGAAGAGAAGAAAGUGACACGCCACACCACACCACACCAACGUGUUAUGGAGCCACACAACACACAAAAACAGAGUUUGUUGUUGGGCGUUUUACUGAGACGCGAGGACACGUGAAAGGAAUGCGUGAGACACGCAGGGUGAGUCAGAGUCAGAGAGAGAGAGAGAGAGAGAGAGUAGCGAACCUUAGAUCUUGAGGUCUGGGAUGGUUUGGACUCCUCGUAGCCAUCGAGGUUGCCGCCGCUUGCUGACGUGGCGCCGCUCCAUGAGAGCGGCGUGGUGGGGCUGGCCCUGGUGGACUCCGCUUUGUUGUGAGCGGAUCUGGAGCGGCGCUGACGCACCGUCCAGUGGAGGUUGAGGCAGGGCGGCGGAGGCGGAGAGCGGUGGAGGCGGAGGAGAAGGUCGACGACCAGGGAGUCGUCGGCCAUGGCGACCUUGACCCAGUGAUCGUCGCACAUCUGAUUGGAAGAAGUGGUGGGUGUCGUUGGAAUGUUAAAUAAAAAUGAAUGGAAGGGAUGAGUUUAUAUGAUGUGCCUCCCUGCCUCCGUCUGUGCUGCAUAUCACCACUCAUCACAAAUCAAAUAACCACACAUUAAAUUAUGUUUUA